GUCCUUUUGUUGAUAAUUUAAGGUCUAACCUGCCCACUGAGAUUUUAAAUGGCCGUGGUAUUUUGACCGUGCUAAGGUAGCAUAAUCAUUAGUUUUUUAAUUAAAAACUGGAAUGAAAGGUUGGAUAAGAAAAUAACUGUCUCUGUUAAAUUUAAUUAGAAUUUUAUUUUUAAGUUAAAAAGCUUAAUUAUUAUUAAAAGACGAGAAGACCCUAUAGAGUUUAAUUAUUUAAUAAAAAAUAUAUUUUAGUAUUUAUUUAUUUAUUUUAUUAAAUAAUUUAAUUGGGGUGAUUGAAAAAUUUAUUUAACUUUUUUUAUUUUAAAACAUUAAUUUAUGAGUAUAUGAYCCAAUAUUUUUGAUUAUAAGAUAAAAUUACCUUAGGGAUAACAGCGUAAUUUUUUUAGAAAGUUCAUAUUAAAAAAAAAGAUUGCGACCUCGAUGUUGGAUUAAAAUAAAUUUUUGGUGUAGAAGCUAAAAAUAUUAGGUCUGUUCGACCUUUAAAAUUUUAC
This 509-nucleotide ribosomal RNA is filed under the name Oreina cacaliae. Its description in RNAcentral is "partial 16S ribosomal RNA". The stretch from base 383 to 509 matches the Rfam family "Archaeal large subunit ribosomal RNA", at positions 2544 to 2670 of the family's 2987-position model. Lineage: Eukaryota; Metazoa; Arthropoda; Insecta; Coleoptera; Chrysomelidae. The record is from RNAcentral.